UGCAAACUUUAUAUGCCCCA
RNAcentral lists this non-coding RNA (20 nucleotides) under Mus musculus (house mouse). The record is from RNAcentral. Lineage: Eukaryota; Metazoa; Chordata; Mammalia; Rodentia; Muridae.